CUCAUGAUGAACGCUAGCUACAGGCUUAACACAUGCAAGUCGAGGGGCAGCAUUUCAGUUUGCUUGCAAACUGGAGAUGGCGACCGGCGCACGGGUGAGUAACACGUAUCCAACCUGCCGAUAACUCGGGGAUAGCCUUUCGAAAGAAAGAUUAAUACCCGAUGGCAUAAUUAGACCGCAUGGUCUUAUUAUUAAAGAAUUUCGGUUAUCGAUGGGGAUGCGUUCCAUUAGGCAGUUGGUGAGGUAACGGCUCACCAAACCUUCGAUGGAUAGGGGUUCUGAGAGGAAGGUCCCCCACAUUGGAACUGAGACACGGUCCAAACUCCUACGGGUGGCAGCAGUGAGGAAUAUUGGUCAAUGGACGAGAGUCUGAACCAGCCAAGUAGCGUGAAGGAUGACUGCCCUAUGGGUUGUAAACUUCUUUUAUAUGGGAAUAAAGUUUUCCACGUGUGGAAUUUUGUAUGUACCAUAUGAAUAAGGAUCGGCUAACUCCGUGCCAGCAGCCGCGGUAAUACGGAGGAUCCGAGCGUUAUCCGGAUUUAUUGGGUUUAAAGGGAGCGUAGGUGGACAGUUAAGUCAGUUGUGAAAGUUUGCGGCUCAACCGCAAAAUUGCAGUUGAUACUGGCUGUCUUGAGUACAGUAGAGGUGGGCGGAAUUCGUGGUGUAGCGGUGAAAUGCUUAGAUAUCACGAAGAACUCCGAUUGCGAAGGCAGCUCACUGGACUGCAACUGACACUGAUGCUCGAAAGUGUGGGUAUCAAACAGGAUUAGAUACCCUGGUAGUCCACACAGUAAACGAUGAAUACUCGCUGUUUGCGAUAUACAGUAAGCGGCCAAGCGAAAGCAUUAAGUAUCCCACCUGGGGAGUACGCCGGCAACGGUGAAACUCAAAGGAAUUGACGGGGGCCCGCACAAGCGGAGGAACAUGUGGUUUAAUUCGAUGAUACGCGAGGAACCUUACCCGGGCUUAAAUUGCAUUUGAAUAAUCUGGAAACAGGUUAGCCGCAAGGCAAAUGUGAAGGUGCUGCAUGGUUGUCGUCAGCUCGUGCCGUGAGGUGUCGGCUUAAGUGCCAUAACGAGCGCAACCCUUAUCUUUAGUUACUAACAGGUCAUGCUGAGGACUCUAGAGAGACUGCCGUCGUAAGAUGUGAGGAAGGUGGGGAUGACGUCAAAUCAGCACGGCCCUUACGUCCGGGGCUACACACGUGUUACAAUGGGGGGUACAGAAGGCAGCUACCUGGUGACAGGAUGCUAAUCCCAAAAGCCUCUCUCAGUUCGGAUCGAAGUCUGCAACCCGACUUCGUGAAGCUGGAUUCGCUAGUAAUCGCGCAUCAGCCAUGGCGCGGUGAAUACGUUCCCGGGCCUUGUACACACCGCCCGUCAAGCCAUGAAAGCCGGGGGUACAUGAAGUACGUAACCGCAAGGAGCGUCCUAGGGUAAAACUGGUA
This 1447-nucleotide ribosomal RNA is filed under the name uncultured organism. RNAcentral describes it as "SSU rRNA". It matches the Rfam family "Bacterial small subunit ribosomal RNA". The record is from RNAcentral.